AGAAUAGAAUGAAUGAAGACCCCUCUCAUAAAUUUAUUAUAAAAAUCCCCGAAAUUAAAAUUUUUGUGAAAAUUCUAAAAUAUGGCACUUAGACGAUAAGACCCUAUGAAGCUUAACCAGGGAAUAGGCCAGGAUUUAAAAUUAGGCUUCCCUGCUGGUUUAAUUGGGGCAAUAUGUAAUAGUGAUAUUAUACCAAGGGUCUAGCUUAUUGAACCUAAAGGAGUAAAAUCAGCUACUCUAGGGAUAACAGCACCAUAGUUAAAAAAGUUCUUAUUAGAAUAACUGU
RNAcentral lists this ribosomal RNA (286 nucleotides) under Metridia curticauda. RNAcentral's name for it is "partial 16S rRNA". The record is from RNAcentral. Lineage: Eukaryota; Metazoa; Arthropoda; Copepoda; Calanoida; Metridinidae.